RNAcentral lists this long non-coding RNA (688 nucleotides) under Salvia miltiorrhiza (redroot sage). Its description in RNAcentral is "long non-coding RNA (SMIL_LNC002070)". Lineage: Eukaryota; Viridiplantae; Streptophyta; Magnoliopsida; Lamiales; Lamiaceae. The record is from RNAcentral.
AGAUAUAAAACUAGGCUUGUUGUUAAGGGAUUUACUAAGAAAGAGUUUGGAUGACCUUUUGUGUUUCUGUUGUGUCUGAGUUUUGCUCUGUCUGUUGGAGCUUUGCUCUGAGUUUAUUUUGCGUCUUUCCCUUGUCGUUCGUCAUGAGCUGUGCUCUGUGUGUAUGCUUGCUCUGUGUUCUGUGUGUUGUCUCUGGCUCUGACUGUAGUCUGAGUUCUGUGUCGCGAGCUCCGCUCUGCUCUGUUGAGCUCUGGUCUGCUCUGGUUUGUUGUCGUUAGCUCUGUCCUGGUCGGCCUUCCUGCCCUACUAUGUGUUUCUGUUCUGCUUUGCUUUGAGUCUGUUCUCUGCUUUGUCGUCGCAUAUGUGUGCUCUGCUCUGUUCUGUCGACCGUCUUCUCUGCUUUGUUCUUGCUAUGUGUGAGUGUUUUGUUGUGUCUGUGAGUCUUCAAUGAUAACCUUAUGGUUUGAGAAUGUGGUGAUUUCCCCUUGGGUUGGUCUCUAGUGUAGAGAUUGAGUUAAAUAUGCAUAAUAUUUUUCUCACCCUCUAUUAUCUUGUCUCUGUGACAGGAUGAUAGUAAAAAUGGCUGUGAUGAUAAAGCUCGAUUCAAAGGCUGGCUCUUUCCUGGUGACUUAAUGAUCAUUGUGCCAAAGGUGGAAUGUGGAGUGUUGGCCCAAUAUCAUUAAUUCCC